RNAcentral lists this long non-coding RNA (2376 nucleotides) under Elaeis guineensis (African oil palm). RNAcentral describes it as "long non-coding RNA (EGUI_LNC016393)". The record is from RNAcentral. Lineage: Eukaryota; Viridiplantae; Streptophyta; Magnoliopsida; Arecales; Arecaceae.
GGGUGGUUCGGCCUUGAACCAUACCAAACCGACCAGUACAGUGCAGUUCCAGUUGUAUUCCAAAAAACCGGCCUAAAUCGGAUCAGUUCUCCACCGGUAUGGUAUGGGGUGUACCGGCCGGUUCGGGUCGAUAUGGAAUACCAUGAUUUGUUGCAUAUUGAUUUGAUCAUGAGAACAUAUUUACUCAUCAUUCUCUUUGCCUUCCAACUCCAGCUCCAAGUCUUUGUCACCUGAGGGUAGACAUUCAUGUGAAGAAACAAGCUGCUUGUGUGCUAAAGCUGAAGCUUGAACUCACUGCUUCUCUUACCAUCAUGGACCAAACCCAAAUUUGGUGACUGAAUCUUUUCGAUGCAUUAAGUAUUUGCUGCCCACCACCUACUCAGUUGUUUUCUUAUUUGAAGUAUUUGUUUGGCAGUCAUUUCUACCCACAGCUCAGAUAAGAGACCACAAUGUAGCCAUGGCACUUAGCUAGGCACUAGGCUCUUGAGCCUAGCAAGCUGCUAGCACCUCCUAGCACAAGCCAAGUUAACCAUGGGAAGAAGGUUGGCACCAGCUACAGUACACAAAUUUCAUAUCAGUACCAACAAAAAUUUCAAUUAAUUUCAGCUCUCGUUGAUCAAAUGAAUGUCUAGAAGUCUAUCCAAGCCAGCAAUAAUGCAUUUCAUAGACCAAUAUGAGUCACUGCAGACUAUUUGCUUAACAAUUUGCCACAAAGUACAGCAAUCCUAAAAAACAAAAAAGGUUCAGUCUUUUAAACCCGAUGACUUGAACCACUAUAACACCCAGGUUUGCCCAGUUCAACCACAGUCAGUCACAUUUCAACUGACCCACAUCCAUCCACUCAAUCUGUCCAUCAUGAGAUGAGGCUGUACUAUCUCCAUGUGAGAUCUGGCCACACUGCCUCAAAUCUGCCAUUGCUGCCCUCAUUUCCCUCAGAUCCAACAUCACCUCCUUCAAUCCCAUGAGAUCCAGCCACUGCCCUUGAUCCUCAUGAGACCCAUUCCUUGCUGUCUCAAAUCUUCCAUUCACAGACCAAAUCUUCCAUUUUGAUGCUUCUUCAUCAUUAUUCCAACAAUGCAAUACAUACCAUAAGAUAACCUUGCAGCCAUGGCAAUGAUUUGCCUACAAUGGGAGGCCAAAGGAUUUCUUCCCUUCUUUUUCAAUCAACUCCGGAUGGGCCAAAUCCAGUUCGACGGAUGGUUUGAACAGUUGAACAGUUCGAGUCAUCAAGUUGAAAGAGCUUUUGGAUUUUGCAGGUUUCGAUCCAACCCAAUGCAAAGGCUGACAGGUUGAUUGGGUUUCAAAACACUGCACAUAUAGUUGCAUACAAAUUACUAGAGGCCAACAUAUUGCUAUUAAGAGCAUGCUUCCAGCCACCUAACUCCAGGAACAACCACUCCAUAAGCUGCUGCAACCUAUUCAUUAGGAACAUACAUAUGGGUGGCAACAACCUUCCUAUCAUCAAUCAGCAGCCAAUAUCACCGGCUCCUUUGAGCAGUUCCUUCAAGCUCUUCUUCGAGAGUUUUAGGAGCCCCUUUUGAACAUUUCUACAGCAGCAACAUCUUAAUCCAAUCCCAUCAUCAAUGUGGACAUUAAAUUGGAUGUCAUGCCACCUACAAGCAACAUCCAUGAUUCCAUUCAGCUUCAAUUGUUUACCUAUCAAUUAUGGGGCCAUAUUGAUAGAACCAGAACUUGUCCUUCAGAUGGCUCUGACUAGCCUUUUGCUUGCUUGUUGCUCAUCAUCACAUCGGUCGUGCAAUUUCUUAAACAAUCAUGCCUGCCAUCAGGUUUCAAAUUCUACAUCUAACAGAGCAUCAAAACAUCACAGUUAAGGAUUUGCAGAACUAUGUGGUCAAUAUGAGCAGAAAAAAGGUUCUAAGACUUCCUUGAGUACAAGCAGCCCGUGCAAUCAGCUAGCAGAUGCUCAUUCAGCUCUCUAUAUUGGUUAGAACUACAUACUAUUAUAAUGAAUCUCCUAAUAUGGCAUUAUCAAAAUAUUACACUUGAAGAAGUUUCAAAACUUAUAGCAAAGAAGAGCUGAUAGGAAAGCAAGAGAGACCAGCAUCCUCCAAAAUCUCUGCAGGUACAUCGAAAUUACCACUAAUCAGAUCAAACAAAAGAAUUAGAUAUACUACACCACCCAAACAGCCAGGAGAGAAAAAUAUACAUCCAACAUCCCCCAUAUUCUUCUAGAAACCAAAAAUAACCAUGCAUAAAACCCCAGAUCCAUCUUGAAUUAAAGUACUUGAACAAGACCCUGCUAAAAGAUUGCUUCAACAGAUCAGUUAUUAAAGAAGAUAAGGUAGUCAAAAUUCAGUUAGCAUGAAGACAUCAAAAAACAGGAAACUUCCUCUCAAGAACAGCCAAUUGCAACUC